AUUGAACGCUGGCGGAAUGCUUUACACAUGCAAGUCGAACGGUAGAGGGGGCAACCCCUUGAGAGUGGCGAACGGGUGAGUAAUAUAUCGGAACGUGCCCAGUCGUGGGGAUAACGUAGCGAAAGUUACGCUAAUACCGCAUACGAUCUAAGGAUGAAAGCGGGGGGAUCGCAAGACCUCGCGCGAUUGGAGUGGCCGAUAUCAGAUUAGGUAGUUGGUGAGGUAAAGGCUCACCAAGCCAACGAUCUGUAGCUGGUCUGAGAGGACGACCAGCCACACUGGAACUGAGACACGGUCCAGACUCCUACGGGAGGCAGCAGUGGGGAAUUUUGGACAAUGGACGCAAGUCUGAUCCAGCCAUUCCGCGUGCAGGAUGAAGGCCCUCGGGUUGUAAACUGCUUUUGUACGG
RNAcentral lists this ribosomal RNA (409 nucleotides) under uncultured bacterium. RNAcentral describes it as "bacterial SSU rRNA". It matches the Rfam family "Bacterial small subunit ribosomal RNA", at positions 30 to 443 of the family's 1533-position model. The record is from RNAcentral.